Molecule: ribosomal RNA, 772 nt
Filed under: uncultured bacterium
Lineage: Bacteria
Description: bacterial SSU rRNA
Rfam family: Bacterial small subunit ribosomal RNA
Source: RNAcentral
AGAGUUUGAUCAUGGCUCAGAACGAACGUUAGCGGCGCGCCUAACACAUGCAAGUCGGACGAGAAAGGGCUUCGGCCCCGGUAAAGUGGCGCACGGGUGAGUAACACGUGGGUAACCUGCCCUCGAGCGGGGGAUAACAUUCCGAAAGGAGUGCUAAUACCGCAUAAGACCACGACCUCGAAAGAGGAUGGGGUAAAAGCUGGCCUCUGUACACAAGCUAGCACUCGAGGAUGGGCCCGCGGCGCAUCAGGUAGUUGGUGAGGUAACGGCUCACCAAGCCGAAGACGCGUAGCUGGUCUGAGAGGAUGAUCAGCCACACUGGAACUGAGACACGGUCCAGACUCCUACGGGAGGCAGCAGUGGGGAAUCUUGCGCAAUGGGCGAAAGCCUGACGCAGCGACGCCGCGUGGGUGAUGAAGGCCUUCGGGUUGUAAAGCCCUGUGGGGAGAGACGAAUAAGUGCAGCCUAAUACGUUGCAUGAUGACGGUAUCUCCUUAGCAAGCACCGGCUAACUCUGUGCCAGCAGCCGCGGUAAGACAGAGGGUGCGAACGUUGUUCGGAAUUACUGGGCGUAAAGCGUGUGUAGGCGGUCCACUAAGUCGGGUGUGAAAGCCCGAGGCUCAACCUCGGAAGUGCACUCGAAACUGGCGGGCUAGAGUACCGGAGAGGUUGGUGGAAUUCUCGGUGUAGAGGUGAAAUUCGUAGAUAUCGAGAGGAACACCGGUGGCGAAGGCGGCCAACUGGACGGAUACUGACGCUGAGACACGAAAGC